UACGAAGGGGGGCUAGCGUUACUCGGAAUUACUGGGCGUAAAGGGCGCGUAGGCGGCGCUCCAAGUUAGGCGUGAAAGUCCUGGGCUCAACCUGGGAACUGCGCUUAAGACUGGAGUGCUUGAGGAUGGAAGAGGGUCGUGGAAUUCCCAGUGUAGAGGUGAAAUUCGUAGAUAUUGGGAAGAACACCGGUGGCGAAGGCGGCGACCUGGUCCAUUACUGACGCUGAGGCGCGAUAGCGUGGGGGAGCAAACAGG
This 255-nucleotide ribosomal RNA is filed under the name uncultured bacterium. RNAcentral describes it as "partial 16S ribosomal RNA". It matches the Rfam family "Bacterial small subunit ribosomal RNA", at positions 524 to 776 of the family's 1533-position model. The record is from RNAcentral.